This 301-nucleotide ribosomal RNA is filed under the name uncultured bacterium. RNAcentral's name for it is "partial 16S ribosomal RNA". It matches the Rfam family "Bacterial small subunit ribosomal RNA", at positions 509 to 807 of the family's 1533-position model. The record is from RNAcentral.
CAGUCGCCACGGUAAUACGAAGGGUGCAAGCGUUAAUCGGAAUUACUGGGCGUAAAGGGUGCGUAGGCGGUUGUUUAAGUCUGUUGUGAAAUCCCCGGGCUCAACCUGGGAAUGGCAAUGGAUACUGGGCAGCUAGAGUGUGAUAGAGGAUGGUGGAAUUCCCGGUGUAGCGGUGAAAUGCGUAGAGAUCGGGAGGAACAUCAGUGGCGAAGGCGGCCAUCUGGAUCAACACUGACGCUGAAGCACGAAAGCGUGGGGAGCAAACAGGAUUAGAUACCCCCGUAGUCCCUGUCUCUUAUAC